CAGCUUAAAGGAAGAAAAAUAUAUUUGGCCCUUGGAGUCAGAAAUUUCAGUUUAUGGUGCGCUGGUACCAUAGCUUUGGGCCUGAGGCAAAGCAGAAACAUCAUGAUAGAAAGGCCUCACUUCGUGGAGGCCAGGAAGCGGGGUAGGGGACAAAGAUAAGAUACACCCUUCAUGGGCAUGCCCCAGUAAGUCACUUCCUCGAACUAGACCCUGCUUUCUAAAUUUUUCACUAUCUCCCAAUAGUGCUAACAGCUGGGGACCAAAUCUUCAACAUGUCGCCUUCAGGUGAUAUUCCAGAUCCAUACUAUAACACAUAAUUAUCUGACUGAAGAUCAGAAGAUAUGUCACACUGGACCCACACUCCUGCAUGGAAGUACACUUGGCUGGAACUGAAUGGCAGCUAUCUAUCUUUCUUCAAUGCCAUAUACUCCAGGGUGGCAUACACCCCAGCAUAUCACUCAUCAUUUCCUUAUGACUUCCAUUGGGAGCUGCCACAUAGGAGUGAGCAAGGACCCUUAGCCUUGAGCGAUGAAGGCGUGAGACUGGUUUCCCCUGUGUGCGGAAGCAAGUGGAUCUCACCUCCACUUGGCAGGGGAAUGAAGCUCUGGGAGUGGGUGUCACCCAAUGAGACUGGGUUACACUCCCUUGAAACCCAAUCCCUUGCCUCAUUUGGGUGGAACUUUCUCGAGUAUCUUUCUCAAUAAAAAGGGUCUCUCUUUUUCCAAUGGACCCCUGAGGUCGAGAGCUAUCCCAGAUUUUGAAAAUGUAUUUCUGUGCGCUUACGUGCUUUCUUCACCAUUUUCUCAGUUAUUGAUGUAGUCAUAUUUUGUGAACCCAGCAUAGGUCGCCAGUCUGGCUAGUUGGCAAUAGACUUCCAAGGUGCUGAGUCUGUAACCCUGUAUGACUUUGAACUUCACCUUCUUCUUUCAUC
Molecule: long non-coding RNA, 931 nt
Filed under: Marmota monax (woodchuck)
Lineage: Eukaryota; Metazoa; Chordata; Mammalia; Rodentia; Sciuridae
Source: RNAcentral